CCAGAGGGUCGGGCGGCCGCGUCACGCGUCAGCGUGCCGAGGAAAGUCCGGGCUCCGCGAAACGACGGUGCCGGGUAACGCCCGGCGGGGGCGACCCCAGGGAAAGUGCCACAGAGAGCAGACGGCGAAGGCUUCGGCCCCGCCACGGUGAAAGGGUGCGGCAAGAGCGCACCGCGCGACUGGUAACAGGAGCGGCACGGCAAACCCCACCGGGAGCAAGACCGAAUAGGGGCGGCAUGGGACUUCGGUUCCGGGGCAUCGUUUCUGCCCGUCGCCCGGGUUGGUUGCUUGAGCCGGCAUGCAAAUGCCGGCCUAGAGGAAUGGUCGCCCAUCCCUGAAAAGGGUGGACAGAACCCGGCUUACAGACCCUCUGGCAUU
This 378-nucleotide RNase P RNA is filed under the name Sphingomonas sp. RNAcentral's name for it is "RNase P RNA component class A". It matches the Rfam family "Bacterial RNase P class A". From Rfam's summary of the family: Ribonuclease P (RNase P) is a ubiquitous endoribonuclease, found in archaea, bacteria and eukarya as well as chloroplasts and mitochondria. Lineage: Bacteria; Pseudomonadati; Pseudomonadota; Alphaproteobacteria; Sphingomonadales; Sphingomonadaceae. The record is from RNAcentral.